GCCAGGCAUGGUGGUGCAUGCCUGUAAUCCCAGCAGCUCAGGAGGCUGAGACAGAAGGUUUAUGAGUUGAAAGCCAGCCUCAGCAGAGGCAAGGUGCUAAGCAGCUCAGUGGGACCUUGUCUCUA
Molecule: small RNA, 125 nt
Filed under: Marmota monax (woodchuck)
Lineage: Eukaryota; Metazoa; Chordata; Mammalia; Rodentia; Sciuridae
Source: RNAcentral